Molecule: long non-coding RNA, 798 nt
Filed under: Bos indicus x Bos taurus (hybrid cattle)
Lineage: Eukaryota; Metazoa; Chordata; Mammalia; Artiodactyla; Bovidae
Description: lncRNA (ENSBIXG00005010870.1)
Source: RNAcentral
AUGACAAAGAUGGGACGCUUUUGCACUGGAUAUUGCAAAUUGUAUGUGUUUAUUUUCCUAUAUUUCCCUGUUCUUCUCUGUGUAGGGCUGUGUAGAAGUGAACACAGGAUGUUCACAUCUGUGAAGGCAACAGAAACGUCAUUCCAAAUUGCAAUGGAGACAGAGAGCAUCCGGUCGGGCGGAUUCUUUACCAAGCUGAGUCACCAGGGAAGCCGGAAGAAGGACCAGCUGGUCUGUUUAUCAGUGACAGAAGACAGGAGGAGGAGAGAACCGUUUCUGAGUGAGGCAAUCAAAUCUGUCUUGGUCGCUUCAUGGCCGGAAGGCCCUCGGAUAGCAAGGCUGGAGUGUGGGAAAUGCUGUCUCCUCACAGGAUGGAUGCCGUCAGUUUCCUGCUGCCUAAAGAUCCUGAUGCUGGGCAAGACUGAGCGCAAGAGGAGAAGGGGACGACAGAGGAUGAGAUGGUUGGAUGGCAUCACUGACUCGGUGGACAUGAGUUUGAGCAAGCUCCAGGAGAUAGUGAAGGACAGUUGGCAUGAGUGACUUGGUCAGUUCAUGGUGUCGCAAAGCGUCAGACAUGACUUAGUGAUUGAACAACAACAGCAAUGACUAAAGAUGCUGAACAUUUUUCUCUUGUGAUUAUAUGCCAUUCUUAUCUGUUCUUGGGUGAAGUGCACUUGUACUUGAUGAGUGACUAUAUUUAUACAUGUAGAAUGACAUUUGUGUUGAUAGGAAUUUUUUAGUGUUAAGUGAAAUAAUCAUGUGAAUUAUUUUUCUUUUUUUUUUUUUUUAAAGCCCCAU